GUGCCAGCCGCCGCGGUAAGACGAACCGAGCGAACGUUGUUCGGAAUCACUGGGCUUAAAGGGCGCGUAGGCGGGCUGCCAAGUCUGUGGUGAAAUCCUCCAGCUUAACUGGAGAACGGCCGUGGUUACUGGCGGUCUCGAGGAAGGUAGGGGCAAGCGGAACUGUGCGUGGAGCGGUGAAAUGCGUUGAUAUGCACAGGAACUCCGGUGGCGAAGGCGGCUUGCUGGACCUUUUCUGACGCUGAGGCGCGAAAGCUAGGGGAGCGAACGGGAUUAGAAACCCGCGUAGUCC
This 292-nucleotide ribosomal RNA is filed under the name uncultured bacterium. RNAcentral's name for it is "partial 16S ribosomal RNA". It matches the Rfam family "Bacterial small subunit ribosomal RNA", at positions 505 to 796 of the family's 1533-position model. The record is from RNAcentral.